Molecule: non-coding RNA, 73 nt
Organism: Potamilus streckersoni
Lineage: Eukaryota; Metazoa; Mollusca; Bivalvia; Unionida; Unionidae
Source: the annotation of a GenBank genome assembly
GCUCCGAUGGUCUAGUGGUUAGAGCGUCCGCCACAAAUGCGGGAGGUCGUGGGUUCGAUCCCCAGUUGAGUCA